GUCCAGGUGGUUGAGUAUCAGAUUGUUCCAUCUCAUUUCCUUUUGGGGUUGCUGUAGGUGAUCCAGAAGUCUGUUUUUGAGACUUGUUUACUUGUCUUCUCAUUUCCACGGGAGGAGGUGCUACUGGCACUCAUGCGGCUCACCUUCUCUGCCCUAGGAGCUUGGGAUGGCAGCGGUGGAGCUUCCUUCUGGGUGCUGGGACCAGCUGAGCUUCUCUGCCCUAAGAGCCUAGGAUGGAGGCGGGGAGCUUCCUUCCAGGGGCUAAGAUAAAACACGGAAGUAUGCUUUGAAAACUGUGGAAUAAUGUACAGAGGAGUUUUAAAAUGGUUAAAAUCAAUGGAUUACUGAAGGUCAAGAAUUAGGCUCCUUUGCAGCCAGAAGAUUCAUUUACAAGAUACAGGUUCACAUGAUUGCAAGUUAGUGUUGACUGUGGUCUGGGAACUCAGCUGAACUUCAGCCCUGGUCUUACUUCCUCUCUCUGCGGGCCUCUCCCCAGGAAAAGUUGGUCUUCCUCAGAAUGGAGGCUGGCUUUCAAGAGUACCAGAAGCUCUAAAAAUGACAGUAUCAAACCAAUUGCUUUGGCUGGAAAGGGUAACCGGUCUUAAGACAAUCAACAAGGACUGAGUAGCAGGAACCAAGCUUUACCUUGUAUGUCAAGUACCGGAGUACCAGCACAAAAUUUUUGUGUCAAAUCCAUGAAGUGCUAAAUUCAAUGAAUUUCAAAGCAGAUGAGUACCAAGACAUCAUGAGAUGAGCUAAUCUGCGCCACCACGUGCUCUCUGCCAUUGUACUUUGCCUCACUGUAGACCCUGAAAUGAAGAAUAGAGCCAAGCAACCAUGUCUAAAAAGUCUGAAACUGUUAACAUAUACCUCCAGAUCUCUAAAAAUCAAAGAUUAAAUACUGAAAUUGAAUACAAAGAUGAAGAGAGAAAAUUCCCUAAAGGUUUCUUGGUUUGAUUUUAUUGAGGAAGUUGAGAGAUGUUGAGUUGGACCUCAAGUCAUCAUCUGACAAGAAAAAGAAAGCUACACACUGUCAUUACAACUUUCUUUGGUCAUCUUCUCUCCCAGGGUGCCACUCAUUAAACUGCCACAGUACUAACCUCACCAUGCAAGAGGGACACUGAAGGAAGAAGGGCUUCUCUUCCUGGGUCUGCUGUGCUUCUUCCUGUUUGUGUGGAUCUCACCUAGCAUGGGUGUCAUCCAGUGAAGCUCCUCUGUGAUGCAUUAAGCAUGUGGCUUUGUAAUGCUCCUAGACACUACAGAUGGUUUCUUAGAACCAAAAGACUGAGAAGCGAUAAGAAUGACUGAUAUUAAUGGCUGCUCAAGCGCGAAGAACCUGUAAUUCUCCCACCAGAGUGAUGCUUCCUUCUGCAGAUUGAGUUGAAAGGUAAUCUUUCUUACCACAGGCAAACCCUGCUGGACUGCGUCUUGGAUUUCACUAUUUCCCAGUUCUAUAGAUAUUUGGUGGUUGUGUUUACCUAUACUUCCUUCAUUCUUUUGAUUUCUAUGCUCACCCUUGCAUGGCUC
Heterocephalus glaber (naked mole-rat) is the source of this 1527-nucleotide long non-coding RNA. The record is from Ensembl. NCBI's taxonomy places the organism in Eukaryota, Metazoa, Chordata, Mammalia, Rodentia, Bathyergidae.